UCCCUGGUGAUCUAGUGGUUAGGAUUUGGCACUUUCACUGCUGUGGCCUGGGUUCAAUCCCUGGUCAGGGAA
RNAcentral lists this transfer RNA (72 nucleotides) under Sus scrofa (pig). RNAcentral's name for it is "tRNA-Glu (TTC) (tRNA-Glu-TTC-13-1)". It matches the Rfam family "tRNA". Rfam says of the family: Transfer RNA (tRNA) molecules are approximately 80 nucleotides in length. Their secondary structure includes four short double-helical elements and three loops (D, anti-codon, and T loops). The record is from Rfam by way of RNAcentral. Lineage: Eukaryota; Metazoa; Chordata; Mammalia; Artiodactyla; Suidae.